UCGAACGAGAAAGUGGAGCAAUCCAUGAGUAAAGUGGCGCACGGGUGAGUAACACGUGACUAACCUACCCUUGAGUGGGGGAUAACCUAGGGAAACCUGGGCUGAUACCGCAUAAUACCUACGGGUCAAAGGAGCAAUUCGCUUAAGGAGGGGGUCGCGGCCGAUUAGUUAGUUGGCGGGGUAAUGGCCCACCAAGACUGUGAUCGGUAUCCGGCCUGAGAGGGCGCACGGACACACUGGAACUGAAACACGGUCCAGACUCCUACGGGAGGCAGCAGUGGGGAAUUUUGCGCAAUGGGGGAAACCCUGACGCAGCAACGCCGCGUGGAGGAUGAAGUCCUUCGGGACGUAAACUCCUUUCGAUCGGGACGAUUAUGACGGUACCGGAAGAAGAAGCCCCGGCUAACUUCGUGCCAGCAGCCGCGGUAAUACGAGGGGGGCGAGCGUUGUUCGGAAUUAUUGGGCGUAAAGGGUGCGUAGGCGGUUUGGUAAGUCUGAUGUGAAAUCUAUGGGCUCAACUCAUAGUCUGCAUCGGAAACUGCCGGGCUUGAGUAUGGGAGAAGUGAGUGGAAUUUCCGGUGUAGCGGUGAAAUGCGUAGAUAUCGGAAGGAACACCUGUGGCGAAAGCGGCUCACUGGACCAUAACUGACGCUGAUGCACGAAAGCUAGGGGAGCAAACAGGAUUAGAUACCCUGGUAGUCCUAGCCCUAAACGAUGACUG
Molecule: ribosomal RNA, 721 nt
Filed under: uncultured bacterium
Lineage: Bacteria
Description: bacterial SSU rRNA
Rfam family: Bacterial small subunit ribosomal RNA
Source: RNAcentral